This 3929-nucleotide long non-coding RNA is filed under the name Sus scrofa (pig). RNAcentral's name for it is "lncRNA (ENSSSCG00060006159.1)". The record is from RNAcentral. Lineage: Eukaryota; Metazoa; Chordata; Mammalia; Artiodactyla; Suidae.
AAAAACUUCAUAGAGGUAGAAUCUAGGUAUUAUCUGAGUGAGAAAAGAACUUAACAUUUAUUAACCACCAAUUUUAUCCCAUGUAAGUAUAUCCGUAUGUUAGGUACUUUACAUAAAUUAUCUCAUUUAUGUCUCUUAGCAACCCUGGGAAGUAAGCAUUAUCUCCUUGUAAGAAAAAUGAGACUCACCAAGUAACUUGGCUAGAAUCAGCUAAUAAAACAGCAGAGGCAAGAUUGAAGCUCAAAGUUUUGGGAUUUGGGGCUUAUCCUUCUACUCUACUUUCGAGGAUAAGAACUGGGAUUUAUAUAGAGAGAAUAUAUGAGAGAAAAAUAAGCAUUUAUUAAACAUCUACUUCUGACCAGACAACAUGCCACAUGCAUUAUUUCAUUUAGUUCUCAAAGCAUUAUUUUAUUCAAUCCUCACAAUAACCUUAUGAAAAGGAAGAAAACUAAGAUUUGUUGAGCACCUGCUAUGCGCCUAACACUUCAGUAGGGCUUAUAUAAGUUACUUCACAUGGUCUCCUAAUAGCCCACUGAAACCUGUAUUGUAGGCCAAACUUCCACCACACUUGCCUACCUCUCAAGGCAGUUCUAAAAGACAUCCCUCCAGGACUCAUAUUUCUAAGCAUUGUGCAGAACUUGUAUUCUACAAAACAUUGACUUUUUAAAGUCCUGUAUAGGCAACACAAAGGUCUUUCCAUACCAAUGACUUUUUAGUCCUUCGGUGGUCAUGAAUCUGUUGGCCCCUCCUCCCAGAUAAAUGCUUACAAUUACACAAUUUUGGAUACAAUUUCAGAGAAUUCGGCAGUUUCCUAAAGCCCAUCAAUGGACUCUUUGUUUAAAACAAACAAACAAACCUGUUCUAAAGAACAGAAAUAAAUCUUAGGAAAUAAGAGAGCUUAUUAAUGCUUCAGUUAUUGAAUUUUACAAAUCCUCUAGAACAUGAACACUUAUGUUUGACCAUUCUAUUAUGUUUCACAAAAUAGAUGUCUGUCCUGUUCUCUUUUUUUUUUUUUUCAGCCUCAGCACUAUUAACUUUUCUGGUGGUAUAAUUCUUUGUUAGGAGUGGGGGUUGGGUACUGUCCUAUGUGUUAUAGGAUGCUGAGCAGCAUCCCUGCCCUCUACUCACUAUGUGCCAGUAGCACACUCCCUGCAUCUCCCAGAUUUGACAACCAAGAAUGUACCCAGACAUUGCCAAAUGUCCCCAAGGGAAGGCAUAAUAACCCCCUGUUGGGAACUGCUGGUUUGUAGUAAUUACAGUCAUCAUUCCUGAGUCAUCCACAAGCAUAGAGGGCCUAUGAUCCAGACUUUUAAAAAGUAUUUCCUUUUCUUGGUUAACUAAGAUCUCUUACAAUACUUCUCAACUGGGUUAAUAAGCAAGAUGAUUCAUCUCACCAAUUAAAUUGCCACCUGAAGUUGUAAGGUUUUUCUUACCUAAGAGACCAAAAUGAAAGUUCAUAUAGCCACCCUAAUUUAUUGAUUGAAUGAUUGACUUAUCAAGUCAUUCAGUCAUUCAAGGAUUAUUUAUUAAAUGCUAACAAGGUAUCAGACAAUGUGCCAGAUGCUAGGGCUAAAAUGGUGACCAGCAUAGUUGUGGCCACUGCAUCAUGGAAUAUGUGAUCCAGUAAGGAAGACAGACUACAGAAAAAGUAAAAAAUAAGUGAAAAUAAUUAUAAACUGUGACAAGAGCCAUGAGGGAAGCACACACAAUGCAGAGGUGCAGACUAACAUAGGGAUUUGGAAAGGCUCGCUAGAAAAGGCCUCUCUGGAGAUGUGAAGGGUGGGAAAAGCCAACCAAGUUAAAAAAAAAUCAACUAGUGGGCAAGUGUUCCAGGCAGAGUAGGCAACCACGUGGCAAGACCCUGAGGCAAGGAAGAGGUUGGUGUGUUCUGGGUACUGGAAGAAGUCUACUGUGACUAGUGCUCAUGUGAGGUAAAAUAGGCAGGGGCCAGACCCUGUAGGGCUCUGCAAGCCAUGGUGAGACGUUGAAUCUCAUUCUUAAUAGAGUGGGAAGCCACUAAAGGCUUUUAAAUAGGUAAGGUAUCAUGAUUUGACAUACAUUUUAAAACUACUCUGGCUGUAGUGGAGAGUGGAGAGUAGUUGGCAUGAGUGGAAGUUAGGAGGCCAGUGCCAGUUGAGAGAUGACUGAUGGUGGUAGCAAUGGAGAUGAGAAGAAUGACAUAUUUUGGAGAUAGAACUGAUAUAAUGUCAGGGUGAGGGAAAUGGAGGAAUCAAGGUUUCUGACUGGAACAUUUUGUUGGACAGAGGUGGGAUUUAUUGAAAUGGGAAGGACCAGCUUGGUAAAAGAGAGAGAGAUUCUUUUCCUCGUCAAGUGAGCCACAAAUGUAGAUGCCUAACUAGUUAUUCAGUGAAAAGGGAAUUGAUUCAGUUCAACAAGCACCUACACACACUGGGUACAAUGCUAAGUGCUAAAGGUACAAAGAAGUAAAAGACAUAUCCCUUUGCUCAGAGAGCUUACAGCCCAGCUGGGGAGAUAGACAGACAUGCAAAGACAGUUUCAAUUCGCUGUGUUAAAUGCUAAGUUAGAGGCAUGCACAGAGUCUAUAAAGUCACAGAAGAAAGCCAGUUAGUGUGACUGGGGCAGGGGCAUGGGGGUCAGGGAGAGGUAUCCUGAAGAUGAGGUCUGGCUAAGGACUGAGCUGAGAAUUAGCCAGGCAGAUAAGUGUGUGAAAGUAUAGGAGGUUAAGGAAACAGCAAUAGAAAGGCACAUGGUGGUGAAAUAGCAUGAUGCCUUUAGGGAAUUAUAAAGAAUGCAGUAUUACCAAAACAUAAACUUGAAAGCAAGGAAUGGGAGGAGAUGAGACUAGAUAAUAACAGACAAUAGCUAACAAUUAUUGUGCACUUAUUAUAUGGCAAGCAGUGUUCUAAGUGCCUUACAUAGAUAUGUCAUGUAAUCUUCACAAUGAUAAUACAGAAUCUGAGAUAGGUGAUUAGGUACCUUGCUCGGAAUGACACACCAUCAGAGCUGAGAUUCAGAGCAAACAGUUUAAUUCCAGAGCUCAUGCUUUUAACCACAGAAAGCUGUGUCAUGCUAAAGAACUGGAAUGUACCUGUUGGCAGUACUGAGUCAUAGAAAGGCAGUGAUGUGGUCAGAUCUGUGUUUUGAUGAGAUGACUCAGGAGAGAUUUAAGAGAGGCUAGGCUGGAGACUGUUGCAAUACAUCAGGCAAGUGAUGGAGGGAGUAUGAAGUAGGGAUGAAGACUAGGGGAAAAUUUAGGAAAAUUUUAGGAGACAGAAUUAGGACAAAUCAGUGAUAAACUGGAUUCUGAGAGUAAAGAAGAAGGAGAAAUCUAGGGUGUCACCACUUAUUUUGGUCUGGAUGACUGGAUGAUAUUACUGCAUGACAAACAAAGGAGGAGCGAGGAGCACUGCAAGUGAGCCUUUUUACAUUGAAUACCAGGUGCCAGUAGAACACCUAGUAGAUCUUGCCAAGAUGCAGUUGGAUUUAAGAGUGUGAAGUUCAAGAGAGAGGUCAUGACUGGACAUAGAUCUGAAUAUUAAGAGUAUGAGGUUAAAACCAAGAGAGUAAAUAGAUUACUUCUGGAGAGUGGGUAAGAAAGAGACCAUGGAGGCAAGGAGGGAAUCUUAAAGAAUUUCAGUAUUUAAGAGACCAGCAAAACUGAGCUCACAGGGAGAUUGAAAAAUUAUGUUAAAGUGAGUUCCCAUCGUGGCGCAACAGAAACGAAUCCGACUAGGAACCAUGAUGUUGCGGAUUCAAUCCCCGGCCUCACUCAGUGGAUUAAGGAUCCUGCAUUGCCGUGAGCUGUGGUGUAGGUCACAGAUGCAGCUUGGAUCUGGCAUUGCUGUGGCUCUGGCGCAGGCCAGCAGCUAUAGCUCCAAUUCGACCCCUAGCCUGGGAACCUCCAUGUGCCAUGCGCGCGGCCCUAAAAAGACAAAAGACAAAAAAAA